This is a long non-coding RNA of Suricata suricatta (meerkat), 3196 nucleotides long. RefSeq lists it as uncharacterized. Lineage: Eukaryota; Metazoa; Chordata; Mammalia; Carnivora; Herpestidae. The transcript is spliced from 3 exons. The record is from RefSeq and is a predicted model, not a curated record.
UACUGGCGGGCCGGAGUCCCAGCCCCGGGAAAGCGAAGGCGAGGGCUGCGGGUUCCUUUCUGCCCGCGUCGUGGAGGCGGGGUGCGGGAGCCGAGAUCCCUAACUGCGCAGCGACCCUUCCCGGAGGUGAAGGCGGGGUUCAGGUCCCUGCCCGGGAGGCGAAGGCGAGGUUCGGGUCCCUGCCUGCGAGUGGAGGCGGGGAGUCGGGAGUUCCUCUCCCGGAAGGUGAAGGCAGGAUUCAGAGUGUCGAUCCCGCGGAGUCAAGGGGGGGUUCGGGGUGCCUGCUUGCGACGUGGAGGCGGGGGCUCGGGAAUCCCUCCCCGCCCAGGGAGUUGAAGGCGGGGUUCGGGGUCCCUGCCCCAGACGCGGUGGCGGGGGCUGCCCUCUGAGCACAGUGGCAGCUGCGGGUAACGAGCGCUUCCGGCGCGUCAGCCGCUAAAUAUAAAGUGCUGAGCGCAUCUUCUCCUUUAAUCCCUUCCCUCCCCCAAACCUGCGGUAACUUCGUGUCCCUUAAAAUAAAUCCCAGCCCGCCACCAGCGCCUCAAAGCCCCGCCUGGCCUGGCGCGCCCUGAGGCCUCCUGGGCGUCCUCCGAGAGGGGCGGAGAGGGGGACCCCCCCCCGCCCCGCCGCCCGGACUAUCCCCUGCUCAGCGCUUAGCGGUCAGGCGUUGGAGCGCGCACGUGUGCGGAGGCUGGCUGUGCGUCUCUCCCCUCCUGACCCGGCCCAUCAGAUCGGGAACCAGUGCUGGGCCCUGGAAGAAGCCUGGUAGAUGCUGACCAGCGUUUUAUAAAAAUGAAACAGAAUAAAAUAGAAAAUAUCAAGGCAUCCCAUACAGUGCGUUUCGGCCGCUUACGCGUGUGAAGGUUUAAGUGGGUACCCAGUUGAAAUGUGAAAUGUGUUUCUUCUCACCAUGGGUGCCAAGCAAAGGAAUGAAGGCCCCUGGAAAGAACAACUUGAGCCACCUCGCAGCCUCGGCGUUCUGAAUCCCCUGGUCUCACAAAGGAGGACUGAGAGCCAGCCCAGGACAGCGGAGCGGUGGGCAGGACAGGUGCCUGCCUGUCACCAAACAUGCUGGUCCUGCCAGCACCCAGCCAUGCCCAGCACCAGAGCAGAAAUGGCUUUGAGAAAAGGAAAGCAGAAGAGAUGGAGAAGUCUUCAAAAUCUAUCUGCCAGGACUUACCUGUGCAUUCUAGAACUGAUUCUUGAUUCGUGGAAAAAUUGCUCUGGUGAGGAGAGCAAGGACAGGACAGCCUUGAAAUUGUCCGGCCCCACAGAGGGAGACCUCUGGGGAUCUGUGCAUCCUGCUCCUGGAAGGGAGGCAGGACUCUCCCUUGGUGCCCAGGCCUUUCCUUGGGAGUGCACCUGUCUGAGUAGCCGCCCUCCCAGGUCCCCUGAUCAUCUCCGCAGCCAUCUGGCCCGGUUGUCCCCCUGUGGGGCGGCGGCCCUCCUUGCCCCCACUUUCCAGGUCUAGAAUGUGACUUGCCCAAUGUUGCGGAUUCUGUGCCUCCCGGAUCCUGGCUCCUGGGCCACAGGCCUCUGUGUUGGAGGCGGGGAAGUACUCUUCACUAACAGGGAGUUGAUUCUGUCUUGGGAAAGAGAGUUAGAUCCGAAGCCUCUAGACCAGGAUGCAGUGCAAUUUCCAGAGACCUCCAAUAGCCUGCUAGGCUCCCUGGUGUGCUGCUGGGUCGUUUCCUGAGGACAUUAGCCACGGGGUGGGGGUUGGGGCAGAGGCUAAAAAUAUACGGGGCACACAGGCCCAGGAAUGCCAGCCCUACCAUUCAUUCCUUGGUGUCCUGCCCAGAGUGGAGGGUACUUGCAGAAGGUUUGAGAAGGUUUGAACUUAACUCCAGAGGCCAUCGGUGUGGUCUGUGCCCCAAGCUGGGGCACACCCGUCCAGCACCUCCAACCUAAACAGCUCUUCCCCGAGCCUUACACACUUGGUAAUAGCCAAGCUUCAGACUCCUGAGCUGGGAGACCCUGAGCAGUUCCGCCUUCUUCUCUCUGUUUCUCCAUUUGUCCAAUGGAGACUCCAGCUGUCCUGCCUGCACAUCUCAUCAGUGCAGGCGAGGAGCCUGGGAGACAGUGCCUGGGCCCACCCAGUGGGAGACUGGCUGUGCCAGGACCACAGAGCCAGCUGCCCAGGUUCCCACUGCAAACAUGAGCCGCUCACUAGGCGCCCACUGUGUGUAUGGAGAGAGACGUGGACCCUCAUAAGCACAGGUGGAAAUAUAUGGACACAGGACACCGCCCUGGGCUCCAUCACAGGCUGGCAGCGUCACACGGCCUGUCCCGCAGUGGGAGGGCACAUUACCACAGGAUGGCAUUGUGACUAAUGUCCCCCUGAGAAAGAAUGAGCCGCGUGACCAUUGGUUUCCCAGGUUUCACUGCUUACUAGGAGCAAAACGUAACAGGCUGCACGGCACAUCUUCAGGAGUUGCCAUGGUAACCCACAGGCUUACCCGGAGCGUCCUCGGAGGCAUGCUCCAAGUCCACUCCAUGGCUGGGCGCUCUGUGCUGGUGGGGCAGAACCACAGCCCCAAGAAUGAAGUCGUGUAAGUAAAGAAGGGGUGGCAGAGGCUGGGGGAGAGCACCCGGCCUCCCAAAGCCUGGACUCUGCUGACAGUGCUCCGUAAGCCAACCUGAGCGCCCCUUGUACACUUACUGAGACAUCCCAGCCCAGUAAAAGGCUGGAGCAUGUGGGUGAAACGAUUCUGCCAGGCACGUGGGCAUUUUCUCUUGUGUUCAGGUCUGGGGUGUUAGCCCAAUAGACCUUCCCUUCUGCUGCUGCCUUAAACACCCUGGGUGCAAAGGCUGGAUCCAUGCCCUGGCUGGCAAGAAAUCACGCACACCAGGAGGCUGGCUGUAGGUGCCCAGGUGCACGCGGGGCAGCACGUGGGCCGGGCUGGGACGGCGUCUGCACCCCAGGAAGAGGCUCCUCGGUGCGGGGCCACAUCCAGUCUUUCCAGCAGGUAACAGCGGCCGGACGGGGGAUGGUGCCUGAAGCCAUAGCCCAUGGUGCAUCCUGUUCCUACAGGCCCUCGCAGACCUGCGUGGACACGUCUUUCCAGGUUCUGGACCAGGAGAGCCACCUUUGCCUUGGGACUCCUGUGGGAUUUGGGCACAGAGUGUUUCUGCAAACAGCAUUCAGCCCACACUGCUGAACCUCAGGAGCACGAGUAGGGGGAGAGGGAGAGAG